GAUGAACGCUAGCGGCAGGCCUAAUACAUGCAAGUCGAACGGGAUUGAGGAGCUUGCUCCUCAUGAGAGUGGCGCACGGGUGCGUAACACGUAUGUAACCUACCUUAAUCAGGGGAAUAGCCUCUCGAAAGAGAGAUUAACACCGCAUAAAAUCACACUAUGGCAUCAUAGAAUGAUCAAAUAUUUAUAGGAUUAAGAUGGGCAUGCGGAACAUUAGCUAGUUGGUAAGAUAACGGCUUACCAAGGCUACGAUGUUUAGGGGAUCUGAGAGGAUGGCCCCCCACACUGGUACUGAGACACGGACCAGACUCCUACGGGAGGCAGCAGUAAGGAAUAUUGGUCAAUGGGCGAAAGCCUGAACCAGCCAUGCCGCGUUCAGGAAGACGGCCCUACGGGUUGUAAACUGCUUUUGUACCGGAAUAAACCUUUAUACGUGUAGGAAGCUGAAUGUACGGUAAGAAUAAGGAUCGGCUAACUCCGUGCCAGCAGCCGCCGUAA
RNAcentral lists this ribosomal RNA (498 nucleotides) under uncultured bacterium. RNAcentral's name for it is "partial 16S ribosomal RNA". It matches the Rfam family "Bacterial small subunit ribosomal RNA", at positions 28 to 523 of the family's 1533-position model. The record is from RNAcentral.